GAUGAACGCUGGCGGCGUGCCUAACACAUGCAAGUCGAGCGAUUCUCUUCGGAGAAGAGCGGCGGACGGGUGAGUAACGCGUGGGUAACCUGCCCUGUACACACGGAUAACAUACCGAAAGGUAUGCUAAUACGAGAUAAUAUGCUUUUAUCGCAUGGUAGAAGUAUCAAAGUUUUUGCGGUACAGGAUGGACCCGCGUCUGAUUAGCUAGUUGGUAAGGUAACGGCUUACCAAGGCGACGAUCAGUAGCCGACCUGAGAGGGUGAUCGGCCACAUUGGAACUGAGACACGGUCCAAACUCCUACGGGAGGCAGCAGUGGGGAAUAUUGCACAAUGGGCGAAAGCCUGAUGCAGCAACGCCGCGUGAGCGAUGAAGGCCUUCGGGUCGUAAGCUCUGUCCUCAAGGAAGAUAAUGACGGUACUUGAGGAGGAAGCCCCGGCUAACUACGUG
Molecule: ribosomal RNA, 451 nt
Filed under: uncultured bacterium
Lineage: Bacteria
Description: bacterial SSU rRNA
Rfam family: Bacterial small subunit ribosomal RNA
Source: RNAcentral